GAAAAUUCUGGCGGCGUGCUUACACACGCAAGUCGAACGGUAAGGCUCCAGCUUGCUGGGGUACACGAGUGGCGAACGGGUGAGUAACACGUGGGUGACCUGCCCUGCACUUCGGGAUAAGCCUGGGAAACUGGGUCUAAUACCGGAUAGGACCGCACCGUGAGGGUGUGGUGGAAAGUUUUUUCGGUGUGGGAUGGGCCCGCGGCCUAUCAGCUUGUUGGUGGGGUAAUGGCCUACCAAGGCGGCGACGGGUAGCCGGCCUGAGAGGGUGGACGGCCACAUUGGGACUGAGACACGGCCCAGACUCCUACGGGAGGCAGCAGUGGGGAAUAUUGCACAAUGGGCGGAAGCCUGAUGCAGCGACGCCGCGUGGGGGAUGACGGCCUUCGGGUUGUAAACUCCUUUCACCAUCGACGAAGGGUUUCUGACGGUAGAUGGAAAAGAAGCACCGGCUAACUACGUGCCAGCAGCCGCGGUAAUACGUAGGGUGCGAGCGUUGUCCGGAAUUACUGGGCGUAAAGAGCUCGUAGGUGGUUUGUCGCGUUGUCUGUGAAUUCCGGGGCUUAACUCCGGGCGUGCAGGCGAUACGGGCAUAACUUGAGUACUGUAGGGGAGACUGGAAUUCCUGGUGUAGCGGUGAAAUGCGCAGAUAUCAGGAGGAACACCGGUGGCGAAGGCGGGUCUCUGGGCAGUAACUGACGCUGAGGAGCGAAAGCAUGGGGAGCGAACAGGAUUAGAUACCCUGGUAGUCCAUGCCGUAAACGGUGGGCGCUAGGUGUGGGUUUCCUUCCACGGGAUCCGUGCCGUAGCUAACGCAUUAAGCGCCCCGCCUGGGGAGUACGGCCGCAAGGCUAAAACUCAAAGGAAUUGACGGGGGCCCGCACAAGCGGCGGAGCAUGUGGAUUAAUUCGAUGCAACGCGAAGAACCUUACCUGGGCUUGACAUAUACAGGAUCGCGCCAGAGAUGGUGUUUCCCUUGUGGCUUGUAUACAGGUGGUGCAUGGUUGUCGUCAGCUCGUGUCGUGAGAUGUUGGGUUAAGUCCCGCAACGAGCGCAACCCUUGUCUUAUGUUGCCAGCACGUUGUGGUGGGGACUCGUAAGAAACUGCCGGGGUUAACUCGGAGGAAGGUGGGGAUGACGUCAAAUCAUCAUGCCCCUUAUGUCCAGGGCUUCACACAUGCUACAAUGGUCGGUACAGUGGGUUGCCAGUCCGUGAGGGCGAGCUAAUCCCGCAAAGCCGGUCUCAGUUCGGAUCGGGGUCUGCAACUCGACCCCGUGAAGUCGGAGUCGCUAGUAAUCGCAGAUCAGCAACGCUGCGGUGAAUACGUUCCCGGGCCU
This 1338-nucleotide ribosomal RNA is filed under the name uncultured bacterium. RNAcentral's name for it is "partial 16S ribosomal RNA". It matches the Rfam family "Bacterial small subunit ribosomal RNA", at positions 29 to 1381 of the family's 1533-position model. The record is from RNAcentral.